RNAcentral lists this transfer RNA (73 nucleotides) under Saccharopolyspora flava. RNAcentral describes it as "tRNA_Asn_GTT". It matches the Rfam family "tRNA". From Rfam's summary of the family: Transfer RNA (tRNA) molecules are approximately 80 nucleotides in length. Their secondary structure includes four short double-helical elements and three loops (D, anti-codon, and T loops). Further hydrogen bonds mediate the characteristic L-shaped molecular structure. tRNAs have two regions of fundamental functional importance: the anti-codon, which is responsible for specific mRNA codon recognition, and the 3' end, to which the tRNAs corresponding amino acid is attached (by aminoacyl-tRNA synthetases). tRNAs cope with the degeneracy of the genetic code in two manners: having more than one tRNA (with a specific anti-codon) for a particular amino acid; and 'wobble' base-pairing, i.e. permitting non-standard base-pairing at the 3rd anti-codon position. RNAcentral also lists the same sequence under 16 other names. The record is from RNAcentral. Lineage: Bacteria; Bacillati; Actinomycetota; Actinomycetes; Pseudonocardiales; Pseudonocardiaceae.
UCCUCCGUAGCUCAAUCGGCAGAGCAUUCGGCUGUUAACCGAAGGGUUACUGGUUCGAGUCCAGUCGGAGGAG